CCUACGGGUGGCAGCAGUGGGGAAUAUUGGGCAAUGGAGGCAACUCUGACCCAGCAAAGCCGCGUGAAUGAUGAAGGUCUUCGGAUUGGAAAGUUCUUUUCUACGGGAAGCAGAAAGUGACAGUACCUUAGGAAUAAGCCUCGGCUAACUACGUGCCAGCAGCCGCGGUAAUACGGAGGAGGCAAGCGUUAUCCGGAAUGACUUGGCGUAAAGGGUGCGUAGGUGGUUUGACAAGUUAGUAGCGCAACUCCGGAGCUCAACUCCGGACGUACCACUAAAACUGUUGGACUUGAGUUGAGGAGGGGAAAGCGGAAGGCGUGGUGUAGCGGUGGAAUGCUUAGAUAUUACGAAGAACCCCAGUUGCGAAGGCAGAUUGCCAGACCCUCACUGACACUGAGGCACGAAAGCGUGGGUAUCAAACAGGAUUAGAUACCCGAGUAGUC
This 443-nucleotide ribosomal RNA is filed under the name uncultured bacterium. Its description in RNAcentral is "partial 16S ribosomal RNA". It matches the Rfam family "Bacterial small subunit ribosomal RNA", at positions 338 to 795 of the family's 1533-position model. The record is from RNAcentral.